Molecule: ribosomal RNA, 443 nt
Filed under: uncultured soil bacterium
Lineage: Bacteria
Description: bacterial SSU rRNA
Rfam family: Bacterial small subunit ribosomal RNA
Source: RNAcentral
AGAACGAACGCUGGCGGCAUGCCUAAUACAUGCAAGUCGAACGAACACUUCGGUGUUAGUGGCGCACGGGUGCGUAACGCGUGGGAAUCUGCCCUUGGGUUCGGAAUAACAGUUGGAAACGACUGCUAAUACCGGAUGAUAUCGAAAGAUCAAAGAUUUAUCGCCCAGGGAUGAGCCCGCGUAGGAUUAGCUAGUUGGUGAGGUAAAGGCUCACCAAGGCGACGAUCCUUAGCUGGUCUGAGAGGAUGAUCAGCCACACUGGGACUGAGACACGGCCCAGACUCCUACGGGAGGCAGCAGUAGGGAUAUGGACAAUGGGCGAAAGCCUGAUCCAGCAAUGCCGCGUGAGUGAUGAAGGCCUUAGGGUUGUAAAGCUCUUUACCGAGAUGAUAAUGACAGUAUCGGAGAAUAAGCCCGGCUAACCGUCCCUGCCAGCACGCCUC